GGGGGUGACAUGGUUUCGACAGGGAAUCAGUGUGGUAGAGAUGCAUGCCGGAGAUGCUAUCCACUCCGUCAACAAGUAGCAAACGCAAAUUAACUGCAAACGAUAACUUACUCUUAGCCGCUUAAUGCGGUUACGGUCAACCUUUCCGUGCCAUCGGGAAAGGAUUGGGCGUCAUAACAGUAUGGCUGCUCAUACGUGGAUUGCCGAUACGCGUGUGUCAAGACUUUCGGCUGGGGCUUUACGGGUCUGAUUGUCUUUGCCGUAAUGCCCGAGAUCAAAGACAACUAAGCAUGUAGAUUCUUUAUGGCGCCGUUCUUUGGACGCGGGUUCGAUCCCCGCCACCUCCACCA
RNAcentral lists this transfer-messenger RNA (350 nucleotides) under Cloacimonas sp. (SeqCode). It matches the Rfam family "transfer-messenger RNA". Rfam says of the family: Bacterial tmRNA, also known as 10Sa RNA or SsrA, is named for its dual tRNA and mRNA-like properties. Its role is to liberate the mRNA from a stalled ribosome. RNAcentral also lists the same sequence under 1 other name. Lineage: Bacteria; Pseudomonadati; Candidatus Cloacimonadota; Cloacimonadia (SeqCode); Cloacimonadales (SeqCode); Cloacimonadaceae (SeqCode). The record is from RNAcentral.